CGUAGGCACCAAGCGUUAUCCGGAUUUAUUGGGCGUAAAGAGCUCGUAGGCGGUUCGGUAAGUCGGGUGUGAAAACUCUGGGCUCAACCCAGAGAGGCCACUCGAUACUGCUGUGACUAGAGUGCGGUAGGGGAGCGGGGAAUUCAUGGUGUAGCGGUGAAAUGCGCAGAUAUCAUGAGGAACACCAGCGGCGAAGGCGCCGCUCUGGGCCGUAACUGACGCUGAGGAGCGAAAGCAUGGGUAGCAAACAGGAUU
RNAcentral lists this ribosomal RNA (255 nucleotides) under uncultured bacterium. Its description in RNAcentral is "partial 16S ribosomal RNA". It matches the Rfam family "Bacterial small subunit ribosomal RNA", at positions 526 to 779 of the family's 1533-position model. The record is from RNAcentral.